GAUUUUCCAAUCCAGAAAGUAAUCAGACCAUGAAGAUUCCAAGGGUCUUGUCAUCAAUGAAAUUGUAUUGCUCGAGUAGUCGACUUGCUACUGUCCGGCUGCAGGCACUAGGCAAUUAACCAACCACCAAACGAGUCCUACAUUUUCCUUUAAUUAAUGCCAAAUUAAUCAGAUCAUGUCCCCAGUAUCCAUAGGUUGGUGGGUGCAAUUACUGAGUCUCACCAAAAUACACUAGUUAAUUAUUAAUGCCACUCAAUAAUACUCUUUCUCGUAGCAUCUUUUAUUUAUAGCCAGAUCGAUAGAGAGCAUUCAGUUUCAAAACAGAAGAACCAAAACCUGUAAAUGUAUGUUCUCUUGGCAUGCAUUUUAAUUUCAGGUUUCACACUUUUAAUUAAGAUUUCACUAAGCACCUAGUUUCCUUAGAAUUCAAUUCAUUGUAUCUGCAAGCCAAUAAUAAUUACUAUUAUUAUUAUUAUUCGCAUGCAAAAGAUAGUUUCUUUACAAGUUUUGUUUCUUACUAUAUUUUAUUUUUUGGUUAUAUGGUAGGUUGACUUGAGCAAUAAUAGAGCGGAAGCAGCUGCCUUUGCAGAACAAACUGAUACCAAACGAAGCAAGCAACAUUGGUAAGAUCAAGACUUUAAAAACUAUUCACAUCAUUAUAUGCUUAAUGAUGUAUCAGGAGUUAAUUUAACAAUUUUUCAAGAAAGGAUAUAGGAGAUAUGUAUAUAUGCUUCUCGUUUUUGCUUUUUUACUGUCUUUAUUUUUCUAUUCCGUUAAUUUAAUGGUGAAACAAAUUAUAUAUAUAUAUAUAUAUAUGUAUGCUUUUAUCGCUGCUAUUGAUUCCAAUUUCUUGCAUCGAAUGAGUACACCAUCAGGAGAAUUAUUUUUAUUUUCAUAAUCCAAUGGUUAAUGUUUCUUUUUAGUUAGUAUUUUUGUAGUAAGAUUCUUGUUUUUAUACUAACAGCUCAAUAUGUUUCUGAGUUGAUGUUUAAUGUUUGUUUGUUUUAGGUUUUACAUGGUGAAAAGGUGUUCGAUAUAGACUCAAACAAUUUUCAUUUGACGCUGAACCUCAAAGAAAUACAAAAUCAUUAGAUUUGAGGUCGUAUAUUAUCCUGCAACCCAUAAAAAUGAUACCACUGAGCCAUCGAGACUGAAUCUCUUAAAAAUAAUACUUCUGAAGAUUACAUAAUUAAUUUCAUGCGGAACGUUUCCUUUCAAUGUGUUUAUUUCCAAAUUUUAUAGAGAUGCCUAUAUGUCUGGUAAAUGAAUUUGAAAUACAAAUAAAUUUAGGUGACAAUCUUUGUGAGAAUUAUACAGUCCAUUCUUUUUAGCUUCAAUGGCCGAGGAUUUAUUUUUCAUUUCGGUCUUAAUGGUUCGAAUGUAAGCCAUCAAGUUUUAUUAUGUAGCCCCUGUGAGGUUGUUUGAGUUCAGGAUGUCUAGAGUCCUGAUGGGUUGUUGAAGUGAAACGAAUCAAGACUGGAAACUAUAGAGUUUAUAAUUUUUUACAAACUUAAAACCUCAAGCAAGUAAACUAAGACAUUUACUUGUGUAUUCAAAGGCCAUUUUGAGGAGACAAGCAUACAAAAUGAUAAAGGAUAGUGAGCAAAAGAAGGAAACGGAAGGGGGGAGAAUAAAAGAGGGGAGUGGGGUGUUACCUAGGGAGGAGGGCUACUUGCUUCUCUAUUAUGUUUUUCUUAGGGGCAGAAGGAUUUGGACAAGCUAAAAAAAAAAAAAAAAAAAGAGAAAUUCAUUCUUCAUGUUGGGAUUGGAUUUUAUUUUUGAGCUUUUCAUCUCUAUUUUUUGUUUUAAAUAGAAAUUAUUUAUUUUUAUUAUAGUAAAUUCAUAAACUGACUUGAGUGUCGGAGGGUUCACUCCGAAAAAACUUUCGGCACCUCUUACCUUUUUUGUGAUUUCAUGUAUUCGUAGGUUAAUCACUGGUGGUUGCAGACAUCUUGACAAUUGACCAGUCAAUUCUCCACCAGAUAAAUUUAAUGCUGGUGUAGGAAUUUGAUAUUAAGUCGCUAACCGACUAGAUCAGAUUUCGACAUCAACACAUAAUUAAAUAAUUAUUAAAACUAUGACAUGGAUUUAAUGAAAAUUUUACAAGUGAUGAAGAGAAAAAUCAAAAGAAUGACAGAAGUUGGGAAGCUUUCCAUGAUGAUGAUUAUGAAGAUUAGAAGCUGUAAUAUACGUUAAAGGAAGAUAUGGAUUGAUGACUAUUUAUUACAUUAAUUGCUAUAUUUAUUAUUGGGCAACCAGCAACAUUAAUGGCAGUUAUUAUGAUUUGGAAUUAACCAAUAUAUUGGUUACAAAAUUAUUUGUCUUAUCUUAUUUUUGCUGUUUUAAUAAAAUAAUCAGUUGGACAUAGUCCGAGUUUGACGUUUGAUAAAUUAUGUUGUUGAGAAUGCAUGUGCUAUGAAUUUCAAAAGUUGAAUGCCUAUAUUAGUUAUUAUUACGAGCUAAAGAGUUAUUUUAUUGUACAAUCAUCAAGAUAAACAUAAGUUACAAGCUCCCAAAACCUUAACAAAUAAACAUUUCGAAGAUAAAAGUACAACUUAAAAAUAAAUGAGCUUACUGGUUAGACCAAAAUUUUUGAUACUGCUAGAUAUGGGUUUGAUUGUAGUUGUGGACUAGCGGUUGUGUGUAGUUGUGGACUAGCCGUAACGAUAAUAUAUUAGAGCUAUGAUUUUAGAUAGAAAGUGCACUUGUUGGCAGUCGCAUACAUUGCAUAUUCAAUUAAGAAAUUUUGAACUAGCACACAAAUCUGGGCAUGUUGUUCAAGACACUAACAUUGAAACAUUUUGCAUAAUGUAGUUAAAGAGUGCCUAUAUCGUACAAAUUUUUUUUUACAUUUCUUCGGGCUCAAUCUUGCAAAUACAUUGAGCUGCUGGAGAUUUUCUAGACUCUCAUACCUAAAAAUUGAGGUGUCGAAACUGACAUG
Molecule: long non-coding RNA, 2941 nt
Filed under: Citrus maxima (pomelo)
Lineage: Eukaryota; Viridiplantae; Streptophyta; Magnoliopsida; Sapindales; Rutaceae
Description: long non-coding RNA (CMAX_LNC000455)
Source: RNAcentral